GACGGAGGGUGCAAGCGUUGUUCGGAAUUACUGGGCGUAAAGCGCACGUAGGCGGGUUGUUAAGUCAGGGGUGAAAUCCCGGAGCUCAACUCCGGAACUGCCUUUGAUACUGGCAAUCUAGAGACUGGAAGAGGUUAGUGGAAUUCCCAGUGUAGAGGUGAAAUUCGUAGAUAUUGGGAAGAACACCAGUGGCGAAGGCGGCUAACUGGUCCAGUACUGACGCUGAGGUGCGAAAGCGUGGGGAGCAAACAGG
This 253-nucleotide ribosomal RNA is filed under the name uncultured bacterium. RNAcentral's name for it is "partial 16S ribosomal RNA". It matches the Rfam family "Bacterial small subunit ribosomal RNA", at positions 524 to 776 of the family's 1533-position model. The record is from RNAcentral.